This is a long non-coding RNA of Sipha flava (yellow sugarcane aphid), 1561 nucleotides long. RefSeq lists it as uncharacterized. The record is from RefSeq and is a predicted model, not a curated record. Lineage: Eukaryota; Metazoa; Arthropoda; Insecta; Hemiptera; Aphididae. The transcript has 3 exons.
UAGAAAUUUCCGAUAAUCAGACUUUGAUAAACAUUAGUAAUUUGCCCGAUUGCCGAUUCGACCGUUUCGUCUUUCGUGUUGCUUUGUUCACUGUUGUAAAUCCAAAACCGUAUAUUGGGUCGAAUGUAAUAUUAAAAUGUAAAUGUUGCCUACACGUGUCACGUUGUACUUUUCGUUGUCGCUGUAUCUGUAUUUUGUAAAAUUGUUUAUAACUUUGUAUAACUGUGUAUAACUGUAACCUGUAGUACUUCAGUAAUUUCAUUAGUGUUUUAUUUAUUUAUUAAAAUGUUGAAUAUUUUUGAAUUAUUUAAUUUUAAAAGAAAACCUAAAGAAGCUGUAAAAUCUGAAAACGUGUUACCGAAGGAAGUUCCUGGAAAAACUACAGUACACUCCGACUGGUCAUCGAAUAUUGAUUUUGAUUCUCGGCUUAAAAUUAGUGAUAUAAUUGAUUUGGAUAACAUUAACUAUGGUCCAUCACGUCCAAUUAUGAAGUCUUAUCAAAUGACAAAAUUUGGUCAACAAAACCGUAGUUUUAAUGCAUCAUAUUAUUAAGAAUAUUGUUAAGAAAAAGGAAAGAUUCAAAUGAUAUUAAAAAUUUCAUUGUCACUAGUACUAGCGCACAUUACACAGAACCUACACAAAAUAACGUACAGACAACCGAAGAUUUCUACAGAAUAAAUGCCUACUUUGUGAUAUUCUUGAUACUCUAGUUACAAAGUUAGAAAAAAGAUUUUCGAAUGAUAGUUUACAAAGGGGCAUAUCUGUUGAUAAUUUUUUUCAACUAAAAUUUGAAGAAAGUCAAUGUUUUAUUGAUCAUUAUCAAGGAUUAUUAGGUUUAUUGAAAAUCAAUAUUCCGUAAGAGAUGACCGUAGCAAAAAACAGCAUCUUGCAAUCAAGAAAUGAAAUAAAUUAUAAAACAAUAAAACAAAAUAUUUCUAAAAGUGUGUUUCCCAACUUAUACAAACUACUACAGGUAGCCAUAACAAUACCAAUCAGCUUAGCUACAUGUGAAUAAAGUUUUUCUGCAAUGUGCAAAGUUAAGACACGGUUACGUACGUCUAUGCUGAGAGAAAAAUUUAAUAACUCUUCAAUAUUAUACAUUGAAAAAGAUAUUAAUAUCAGUAUGGAGAAUGUUAUUGAUAUAUUUGCUAAUAAAAAUAGGUUUAUUGUAUUUAAAUAAUAAAAUAUUUAUUGUAUUAUAAAUUAAUGAUGUUUAAAGUGCAUAAUGUAUAAUUAGUAAUGCAUAUUUAGUAGUUUUGUAAUUUAGUAAUUUAAUGUGUACUGAAGAGUGAAGGUAAGAGUGAGGAUGUGAGGGCAAAGCCCCCACAGCUUAUUUUGUAAAGAAACAUUUAAGCCCCCCCCCCCUAAAAUUUAAUCCGCCUCUACCUAUAAGUAUGAAAGAACUGGCGCUCAAUCCAAAGUCGAUUGAGUACAUGAUAAAAUAUGGUAUUUCAAUUAAUUAUCUGAUUAUCGUAACUUUAUACUGUUUCGUAAAGAUAUAAAUUAUAAUUUUUUUAAAUACAUUUUUCGCGUUUCAUACUUGUUAUCUUGGUUUUUUUUC